UUGUCAGACUGACAAUACUAAUGUCUUAUCACAGUGAAAAAUCUAUCGCUAAAUCUCUUCUUUUAGGCAAGGAACACAACUUCAGAAAGGUGGAAACCAAUAACUUGAUGACCCCGUAUGACUACACCUCUGUGAUGCACUAUGGAAGGUAUGCAUUCUCUAAAGAGUAUGGUAAGCUGCCAACUACCAUUCCAAAGCCAGACUCUAAUGUUCAGAUCGGAGAGGCCCGACAGAUGAGUCGCCUGAACAUCGUGAGGGUCAACAGGUUGGACUACUGCAGUGAGUAUUGGGCUUUAUUUUACUAUAUCUUACAAUAGGAAAUGCAUGUUUUCUUUCAGUCAUGCAUUUCAUAACAUGAGAAUAAAUGUUUGUUUUUGUCAACGUUGUCAACACCGUUGAUGAUGGUGUUCCUUUUCAUGUUUUUUGUCUUUUCACCCCGAUAGGAGGACACUUGAAUAAAUGAAUUUAGAAGACUACAUCAGAUAUUUCAACCAACAACUAUUUGAAAUAAAAACCAAAUACCAGCUAAUCAAUUAGCUUCUGGAUGAGGUCAAAUUCACUUCGCACAAUACUCAUCGCUUUGUAUUGUGUUGUGGAUGCUUCACCACCCAGUUGGUUGCGAUUAAUCUCUCAACCAAAUGUACUUUUUUGUGUCAUUUUGACACUGUUAUUGUAGAUAUUAUUCGGGGUGAUUGUGAGACAUUCAGUACUCAUUGUUCUAUUGCAUUGGUUGUGUGGUUAAUGUUGAUGUGACUUCAUAUCCCAUGUUUCCCCCAUUUAUUAGCAUUCAGAAUCUUGACAGUUACUGUAUCUAGCUGCAUUCCUAUUUGCUCAGUAAAAGCUCACUGUAUAUAUGCCAAGUGACAGUGCAUUUGUUCCACUAGGUGGCAUCUGAAUCUCAUGUACAGUACAUAGAUUAUUUCUUUCAUGUUUCCAUUAAAGUAUAGAAUUCUUUACAAUUUGGACAGAUUUUGCGGCUUCCCCUACACCUCCAAUGAAACUAGUGACUUUUCUACGAAAAGAUAAGCACAAUGGGUAAGGUAAUAUAGUGAAUGCAUACCACACACAUACACAAAAAUGGGUGUCAGACAUGAAUAAGCCAAACAUACAACAACAAAAAAUCUAGAAUCCAUGCAUCCAAGCAUCCAAGCAUCCAAGCAUCCAGAAAUAUACUGAAACAUGUCUGCCUCACCUUCCAAGAGUUGAAACCGUUCCCUAGAGAACCAGCCACCUCCAGGUAAAUCACGCUGUCGAGAUCUGUCAGUGACUCACUGGUGCCAUCACCAACCUGAUAAUUGGCUUUGUCAAAGCUUUGUCUCACAUUCGGCGACGGGUUAGGGGGAGGCAGCAAAUAAAAACGGGGAACAAGUCGAAGUACUGUAUCCACACAGGACUAUUUAGACCUAGAAGAACAGGGAGAGUAAAAAAGAAAACAUUGCAACAAAUACAAUUGGCCUUUUUCUAUGUCCAGCGUCUACAAGUUGUACAGGCUUCUAUACUAUUUAAUGUUCCUCCACCGUAGAUUUAUUUUUAGAGACAGGUAUGUGCUCGUUCAGUAGAUUGGACACAAAAUGUGAUGCUAUUGUAUAAUCAUGGCAAAUGAAAUGUGGUUGUGUUACUGCUGUAAGCCAUGGCAGGAAGCUUUGGAGUGUACGCUGAGCUUAGCAAGCCUGGAGGAGUUAGACAGUCCCAAUUUACUUUCAGCCUCAACACCUCCUGCUCGGUUCCGACUGUGAGCUGGAGAGGAGGGGUGUCUGGCACAGGGAUUGAAAAGUGGUUCAAAGCACAGCAGAAUGCUCAUCCAUUGAACUGAUAAGAUAACUUUUAUCUUCCCUCCCUUGCUCCAUCUCUCUCUCUCUCUUUCCUUCCCCCUCCUGCUGCUCUUGUUUUACUUGAGUUAUAUUACUCGACACACUAGCAAAUAAAUGUUAUGAGCUUUU
This is a long non-coding RNA of Salvelinus fontinalis (brook trout), 1940 nucleotides long. RefSeq lists it as uncharacterized. NCBI's taxonomy places the organism in Eukaryota, Metazoa, Chordata, Actinopteri, Salmoniformes, Salmonidae. The transcript is spliced from 2 exons. The record is from RefSeq and is a predicted model, not a curated record.